UACGUAGGGUGCAAGCGUUGUCCGGAAUUACUGGGCGUAAAGGGCGCGUAGGCGGACAGUUUAGUCAGAGGUGAAAGCCCAGGGCUCAACCUUGGAAUUGCCUUUGAUACUGGCUGUCUUGAGUUCGGGAGAGGUGAGUGGAACUGCGAGUGUAGAGGUGAAAUUCGUAGAUAUUCGCAAGAACACCAGUGGCGAAGGCGGCUCACUGGCCCGAUACUGACGCUGAGGCACGAAAGCGUGGGGAGCAAACAGGG
Molecule: ribosomal RNA, 254 nt
Filed under: uncultured bacterium
Lineage: Bacteria
Description: partial 16S ribosomal RNA
Rfam family: Bacterial small subunit ribosomal RNA
Source: RNAcentral